This 400-nucleotide ribosomal RNA is filed under the name uncultured bacterium. RNAcentral describes it as "bacterial SSU rRNA". It matches the Rfam family "Bacterial small subunit ribosomal RNA", at positions 356 to 773 of the family's 1533-position model. The record is from RNAcentral.
GGGGAAUAUUGCACAAUGGGCGAAAGCCUGAUGCAGCAACGCCGCGUGAGUGAUGAAGGCCUUCGGGUUGUAAAGCUCUGUCUUCUGGGACGAUAAUGACGGUACCAGAGGAGGAAGCCACGGCUAACUACGUGCCAGCAGCCGCGGUAAUACGUAGGUGGCAAGCGUUGUCCGGAUUUACUGGGCGUAAAGAGUAUGUAGGCGGAUAUUUAAGUCAGAUGUGAAAUUCCCGGGCUUAACCUGGGCGCUGCAUUUGAUACUGGAUAUCUAGAGUGUGGGAGAGGAAAGUGGAAUUCCUAGUGUAGCGGUGAAAUGCGUAGAGAUUAGGAAGAACACCAGUGGCGAAGGCGGCUUUCUGGACUGUAACUGACGCUGAGGCAUGAAAGCGUGGGGAGCAAAC